GAUGAACGCUGGCGGCGUGCUUAAUACAUGCAAGUCGAGCGAACAGAUGAGGAUUUUGUUGGUCUCACGUUAGCGGCGGACGGGAGAGUAACGCGUGUAUAACCCACUUAUAAUACUGGUAAAACUUCGGGAAACGGGAUCUAACACCGGAUAAUCUACUGAAGCGCAUGGUUCAUUAGUGAAAUACGGCUUUGGUGUCACGUAUAGAUGCAUCCGCGCCGCAUUAGCUAGUUGGUAAGGUACCGGCCUACCAAGGCAACGAUGCGUAGCCGAACUGAGAGGAUGAGCGGCCGCACUGGGAGUGAGACACGGUCCAGAGGCCUACGGGAGGGACCAGUAGGGAUACUGCCGGAAGGGGCGGAGGCCUGAGGGAGCAGCGCCGCGGGAGUGAGGAGGGUCGUCGGGUCGUGAAACUCUGUUAUUGGGGAGGAACAAAUGUGUGAGUAACUAGGAACGUCUGGACGGGACCUGAGCAAAGAGCCACGGCUUACUACGUG
This 497-nucleotide ribosomal RNA is filed under the name uncultured bacterium. RNAcentral describes it as "partial 16S ribosomal RNA". It matches the Rfam family "Bacterial small subunit ribosomal RNA", at positions 28 to 507 of the family's 1533-position model. The record is from RNAcentral.